UGCCAGACUCCUACGGGAGGCAGCAGUGAGGAAUAUUGGUCAAUGGGCUUACGCCUGAACCAGCCAAGUCGCGUGAGGGAAGACUGCCCUAUGGGUUGUAAACCUCUUUUGCCGGGGAGCAACGGGGUCCUUGCGAGGGCCCGAUGAGAGUACCCGGAGAAAAAGCAUCGGCUAACUCCGUGCCAGCAGCCGCGGUAAUACGGAGGAUGCGAGCGUUAUCCGGAUUUAUUGGGUUUAAAGGGUGCGUAGGCGGGCUGUUAAGUCAGCGGUCAAAUGUCGGGGCUCAACCCCGGCCUGCCGUUGAAACUGGCGGCCUCGAGUGGGCGAGAAGUAUGCGGAAUGCGUGGUGUAGCGGUGAAAUGCAUAGAUAUCACGCAGAACUCCGAUUGCGAAGGCAGCAUACCGGCGCCCUACUGACGCUGAGGCACGAAAGCGUGGGUAUCGAACAGGAUUAGAUACCCUAGUA
This 466-nucleotide ribosomal RNA is filed under the name uncultured bacterium. RNAcentral describes it as "bacterial SSU rRNA". It matches the Rfam family "Bacterial small subunit ribosomal RNA", at positions 329 to 792 of the family's 1533-position model. The record is from RNAcentral.